RNAcentral lists this transfer RNA (69 nucleotides) under Serrognathus castanicolor. RNAcentral describes it as "tRNA-Trp". The record is from RNAcentral. Lineage: Eukaryota; Metazoa; Arthropoda; Insecta; Coleoptera; Lucanidae.
AAGGAUUUAGGUUAAAGAAACCUGUGACCUUCAAAGUCACCAUUAAAAAAAGUCAGAUUUUAAGCCUUA